CCUACGGGUGGCAGCAGUGAGGAAUAUUGGUCAAUGGGAGGAAUCCUGAACCAGCCAUGCCGCGUGCAGGACGACGGCUCUACGAGUUGUAAACUGCUUUUGUACCGGGGUAAAAUGCUCUACGAGUAGGGUUUUGAAAGUACGGUACGAAUAAGGAUCGGCUAACUCCGUGCCAGCAGCCGCGGUAAUACGGAGGAUCCGAGCGUUAUCCGGAUUCAUUGGGUUUAAAGGGAGCGUAGGUGGAUUGUUAAGUCAGUUGUGAAAGUUUGCGGCUCAACCGUAAAAUUGCAGUUGAAACUGGCAGUCUUGAGUACAGUAGAGGUGGGCGGAAUUCGUGGUGUAGCGGUGAAAUGCUUAGAUAUCACGAAGAACUCCGAUUGCGAAGGCAGCUCACUGGACUGCAACUGACACUGAGGCUCGAAAGUGUGGGUAUCAAACAGGAUUAGAUACCCUUGUAGUC
Molecule: ribosomal RNA, 460 nt
Filed under: uncultured bacterium
Lineage: Bacteria
Description: partial 16S ribosomal RNA
Rfam family: Bacterial small subunit ribosomal RNA
Source: RNAcentral